This 506-nucleotide ribosomal RNA is filed under the name uncultured bacterium. Its description in RNAcentral is "partial 16S ribosomal RNA". It matches the Rfam family "Bacterial small subunit ribosomal RNA", at positions 28 to 523 of the family's 1533-position model. The record is from RNAcentral.
GAUGAACGCUAGCGGCAGGCCUAACACAUGCAAGUCGAGGGGCAGCACAUAAAGUGGUUUACUACUUUUGGUGGCGACCGGCGGACGGGUGCGUAACGCGUAUGCAACCUGCCUCCAACAGGGGGAUAACGGAGAGAAAUUUCCACUAAUACCCCAUAAUAUCAGAAUCGGCAUCGGUUUUGGUUGAAAACUCCGGUGGUUGGAGAUGGGCAUGCGUUGUAUUAGAUAGUUGGUGAGGUAACGGCUCACCAAGUCAACGAUACAUAGGGGGACUGAGAGGUUAGCCCCCCACACUGGUGCUGGGACACGGACCAGACUCCUACGGGAGGCAGCAGUGAGGAAUAUUGGUCAAUGGGGGCAACCCUGAACCAGCCAUGCCGCGUGCAGGAAGACGGCUCUAUGAGUUGUAAACUGCCUUUACAAGGGGAUAAAUCGGUGUACGUGUACACCGUUGAAGGUACCUUGGGAAUAAGGAUCGGCUAACUCCGUGCCAGCCGCCGCAGUAA